CCCCCUCGCCGUAAGCGCAAGGUUUUCUACGCAACGUUCAUCGGCGUAGAGUGAGUCGGCCCCUAAGGCGAGGCAGAAAUGCGUAGCUGAUGGGAAACAGGUUAAUAUUCCUGUACUUCUUAUAACUGCGAUGGAGAGACGGAGAAGGCUAUGCCUACCGGGCGUUGGUUGUCCCGGGGAAAGGCUGUAGGCUGAGGUGUUAGGCAAAUCCGGCACCUUAAGGCUGAGAGUCGAGACCACUGGUCCUUUGUGACCGGGAAGUGGUUGAUGCCAUGCUUCCAGGAAAAUCUUCUAAGCUUCAGGUUAUAAGGAACCGUA
RNAcentral lists this ribosomal RNA (318 nucleotides) under Pseudo-nitzschia fraudulenta. Its description in RNAcentral is "partial Bacterial large subunit ribosomal RNA". It matches the Rfam family "Bacterial large subunit ribosomal RNA", at positions 1329 to 1646 of the family's 2925-position model. The record is from RNAcentral. Lineage: Eukaryota; Bacillariophyta; Bacillariophyceae; Bacillariales; Bacillariaceae.